Molecule: ribosomal RNA, 463 nt
Filed under: uncultured bacterium
Lineage: Bacteria
Description: bacterial SSU rRNA
Rfam family: Bacterial small subunit ribosomal RNA
Source: RNAcentral
CGCUGGCGGCGUGCCUAACACAUGCAAGUCGAGCGGGGACUUGGGAGCUUGCUCCCGGGUUCUAGUGGCGGACGGGUGAGUAACGCGUGAGGAACCUGCCUUUCAGAGGGGGAUAACGUUUGGAAACGAACGCUAAUACCGCAUAACACAAUCGAGUGGCAUCGCUUGAUUGUCAAAGGAGCAAUCCGCUGAAAGAUGGGCUCGCGUCUGAUUAGAUAGUUGGUGGGGUAACGGCCUACCAAGUCGACGAUCAGUAGCCGGACUGAGAGGUUGAACGGCCACAUUGGGACUGAGACACGGCCCAGACUCCUACGGGAGGCAGCAGUGGGGAAUAUUGCACAAUGGGGGAAACCCUGAUGCAGCAACGCCGCGUGAAGGAUGAAGGUUUUCGGAUCGUAAACUUCUAUCAACAGGGAAGAAACAAAUGACGGUACCUGAAUAAGAAGCCCCGGCUAACUACGUG